CCGUCUAGAAAAGUAGAGGGAGGUGGGAUAGGGGUCCUGAGGGGGUGUAGGAGUCCGGUCCGAUGGCAAGUAAAGUGGUCCAGUCUCCGGCAGAGGUCUCCAGCCCGCCAGGAACGCGUUUCCCUGCUUAUCCUAGGAAAGGGAGGAUUGGAGGGAGGCACGCAGAAGGCUGAGAUACGGAGCUUCAGUUCCUUCCUUGUGGUUGGGUUCGGAGAUUGCCGAGAGAUGGGUAGAACCGGGAGAGAAGGCGUCGAUCCAGGCAGGAGCGGAGGGUGAGGAAGAGGCCAGGAUGAGACGCCUACUGGGGACACCCAAGCCGGUGCUCAUCCGGGUUGGUUCUGACCUUACCGUUCCCCUGGAUGCCUCCAGAGCACAAAGUCAUCAUCGUGGGACUGGACAAUGCAGGAAAGACCACCAUUCUCUACCAGUUUCUGACCAACGAGGUUGUUCAUACCUGUUCCACCAUUGGUAGCAACGUGGAAGAAAUUGUUUUUCAGAGGACCCACUUCCUCAUGUGGGACCUAGGAGGUCAGGAGGCACUGCGCUCCACCUGGGAGACAUACUACUCGAAUGCUGAGGUAAGGGGGGAACCAGAUCUGGGAGGUCAAAGAGGUGGCUGGGCAUUAGCCUGUUAGUCACCUGCCGUUUCUCUGAGCCUUCGGCCACCUGG
Molecule: long non-coding RNA, 670 nt
Filed under: Rattus norvegicus (Norway rat)
Lineage: Eukaryota; Metazoa; Chordata; Mammalia; Rodentia; Muridae
Description: long non-coding RNA NONRATT005964
Source: RNAcentral